RNAcentral lists this ribosomal RNA (935 nucleotides) under uncultured Alteromonas sp. RNAcentral's name for it is "bacterial SSU rRNA". It matches the Rfam family "Bacterial small subunit ribosomal RNA", at positions 61 to 992 of the family's 1533-position model. Lineage: Bacteria; Pseudomonadati; Pseudomonadota; Gammaproteobacteria; Alteromonadales; Alteromonadaceae. The record is from RNAcentral.
GUCGAACGGUAACAUUUCUAGCUUGCUAGAAGAUGACGAGUGGCGGACGGGUGAGUAAUGCUUGGGAACUUGCCUUUGCGAGGGGGAUAACAGUUGGAAACGACUGCUAAUACCGCAUAAUGUCUUCGGACCAAACGGGGCUUUUAGCUCCGGCGCAAAGAGAGGCCCAAGUGAGAUUAGCUAGUUGGUAAGGUAACGGCUUACCAAGGCGACGAUCUCUAGCUGUUCUGAGAGGAAGAUCAGCCACACUGGGACUGAGACACGGCCCAGACUCCUACGGGAGGCAGCAGUGGGGAAUAUUGCACAAUGGGGGAAACCCUGAUGCAGCCAUGCCGCGUGUGUGAAGAAGGCCUUCGGGUUGUAAAGCACUUUCAGUUGUGAGGAAAAGUUAGUAGUUAAUCCCUGCUAGCCGUGACGUUAACAACAGAAGAAGCACCGGCUAACUCCGUGCCAGCAGCCGCGGUAAUACGGAGGGUGCGAGCGUUAAUCGGAAUUACUGGGCGUAAAGCGCACGCAGGCGGUUUGUUAAGCUAGAUGUGAAAGCCCCGGGCUCAACCUGGGAUGGUCAUUUAGAACUGGCAGACUAGAGUCUUGGAGAGGGGAGUGGAAUUCCAGGUGUAGCGGUGAAAUGCGUAGAUAUCUGGAGGAACAUCAGUGGCGAAGGCGACUCCCUGGCCAAAGACUGACGCUCAUGUGCGAAAGUGUGGGUAGCGAACAGGAUUAGAUACCCUGGUAGUCCACACCGUAAACGCUGUCUACUAGCUGUGUGUGAAUUUAAUUCGUGCGUAGCGAAGCUAACGCGCUAAGUAGACCGCCUGGGGAGUACGGCCGCAAGGUUAAAACUCAAAUGAAUUGACGGGGGCCCGCACAAGCGGUGGAGCAUGUGGUUUGAUUCGAUGCAACGCGAAGAACCUUACCUACACUUGACAUGCAGA